CUACUCCGGUGGUUAGCGGCGGACGGGUGAGUAACACGUGGGCAACCUGCCUGUAAGACUGGGAUAACUUCGGGAAACCGGAGCUAAUACCGGAUAAUUUCUUCCCUCACAUGAGGGAAGGUUGAAAGUCGGUUUCGGCUGACACUUACAGAUGGGCCCGCGGCGCAUUAGCUAGUUGGUGAGGUAACGGCUCACCAAGGCGACGAUGCGUAGCCGACCUGAGAGGGUGAUCGGCCACACUGGGACUGAGACACGGCCCAGACUCCUACGGGAGGCAGCAGUAGGGAAUCUUCCACAAUGGACGAAAGUCUGAUGGAGCAACGCCGCGUGAGCGAUGAAGGCCUUCGGGUCGUAAAGCUCUGUUGUCAGGGAAGAACAAGUAUCGGAGUAACUGCCGGUACCUUGACGGUACCUGACCAGAAAGCCACGGCUAACUACGUGCCAGCAGCCGCGGUAAUACGUAGGUGGCAAGCGUUGUCCGGAAUUAUUGGGCGUAAAGCGCGCGCAGGCGGUCCUUUAAGUCUGAUGUGAAAGCCCACGGCUCAACCGUGGAGGGUCAUUGGAAACUGGGGGACUUGAGUGCAGAAGAGGAAAGCGGAAUUCCACGUGUAGCGGUGAAAUGCGUAGAGAUGUGGAGGAACACCAGUGGCGAAGGCGGCUUUCUGGUCUGUAACUGACGCUGAGGCGCGAAAGCGUGGGGAGCAAACAGGAUUAGAUACCCUGGUAGUCCACGCCGUAAACGAUGAGUGCUAAGUGUUAGAGGGUUUCCGCCCUUUAGUGCUGCAGCUAACGCAUUAAGCACUCCGCCUGGGGAGUACGGCCGCAAGGCUGAAACUCAAAGGAAUUGACGGGGGCCCGCACAAGCGGUGGAGCAUGUGGGUUUAAUUCGAAGCAACGCGAGAACCUUACCAGGUCUUGACAUCCUCUGACACUCCUAGAGAU
This 942-nucleotide ribosomal RNA is filed under the name Neobacillus pocheonensis. RNAcentral describes it as "bacterial SSU rRNA". It matches the Rfam family "Bacterial small subunit ribosomal RNA", at positions 80 to 1007 of the family's 1533-position model. Lineage: Bacteria; Bacillati; Bacillota; Bacilli; Caryophanales; Bacillaceae. The record is from RNAcentral.